AUGGUGAACGUUCCGAAGACCAAGAAAACCUACUGCAAAAACAAGGAGUGCAAGAAGCACACGCUUCACAAGGUCACUCAAUACAAGAAGGGUAAGGACAGCCUGUCUGCCCAGGGAAAGCGUCGUUAUGACAGGAAGCAGUCGGGAUACGGUGGUCAGACCAAGCCCGUUUUCCACAAGAAGGCAAAAACCACCAAGAAGAUUGUGCUGAAGCUGCAGUGCCAGAGCUGCAAGCACUACUCCCAGCGCGCCAUCAAGCGGUGCAAGCAUUUUGAGAUCGGUGGAGACAAGAAGGGCAAGGGAACGUCUCUCUUCUAG
RNAcentral lists this ribosomal RNA (318 nucleotides) under Triticum aestivum (bread wheat). RNAcentral describes it as "partial small subunit ribosomal RNA". The record is from RNAcentral. Lineage: Eukaryota; Viridiplantae; Streptophyta; Magnoliopsida; Poales; Poaceae.